Planococcus citri (citrus mealybug) is the source of this 3799-nucleotide long non-coding RNA. RefSeq lists it as uncharacterized. The record is from RefSeq and is a predicted model, not a curated record. Lineage: Eukaryota; Metazoa; Arthropoda; Insecta; Hemiptera; Pseudococcidae. The transcript has 2 exons.
AAAAAUUCAACUUGGCAACGCUUCCCAUCAUAUUAAGUAAAUAACAACAGGUGCGAGAUGAAUUGUGACGAGGCUUUCACCAACUGUGAAAUAGGUAAUAGGUAUAGGUACCUGGUACAUAGUUAGUCGAAAUAUGCCAUCCACGCCCAACUGUCGUGUGGAAGACUACGUGUGACAUCAUUCAAUGGAAUUGUCAAAUUCUGUGGUAACUGGAAAUUUUUAACGAAUGUGUUGAACUUUUAAUGCGUUAAGAUGAUUUUGAUUCGUGGUGUUUCGGUAAAUCAAUGUGAUUAUCGUUCGGGCAUUGGUAUAGUCUUCACCACUUGAGAAACCGUAUAAAACCGACAUCUUGGACGAAACUCAAGAAUCAAGAUGAUUAUGUUCUCAGUCCUCAGACAACAUCAGCAUUCUAAUUGUGAAUGGUAUACUUAUUGAAACAUGGAUUCAAUUUUAACAGAAGUUAUUCAUAAUUUAUCACUAUUUAUCUACACUUUUUCACUGAACGGUUUAAACCGAUCAGAAAAAGUCAACAUCGCAGCUGCCAAUCGAGGUGAAAAAUAUUGAUUAUACCAGAACUGUUUCCAGUUGACGAUGAACAAGAACCAUGAUUUGAUUAGGUACUUAUAUGUACUUGAACUACGAAACUUUCCAGCAGCACCAUUCAACGAAUUAUGAUUAUCAUUCACAUCGUCUCUAUAUAGUCCAUAUUGAGGACCCAUUUUACCAAUACGAUUACAUUGUACCAGUCCUUGGACAUUUUCGUCUGAAAACAAACGAACAAUAAUUUACAUAAUAUACUUACCUAUUCAUAGCUGUUGCCAAAAAUAUUACCAAAAUGGGAGUAUCAUUGGUGAGCAGGGGUUCUCCGCCCACGUUUUCUACGUAUGAUCAAGAUUCUUCUGAAGCUCAUUUCUGAUAAUACUUUUGAUCCACUCAUCGGAGAAUGGUCACUGGUCAGAACUGUCGUUCGCCGAUUUGAACGAAACUUCGCCAACGUGAUAUGCAUACAUGGUGUCCGGGGAGUGGUGGUACAGACUUCAGAUUUGGAUAUAACCGGGUAUGAGUGAAAAAAAAGUAAAAGAAACAAGUUGCCUAUUUUGAAAAUUGAAAGGACAAAAUCUAAGAGCCAUAAUCCAAUUUUGGCCAUGGGGGUCGGUAGUACCUACAUACAUAUAUGUAUAGAUACUCUUACUUUGGAAAAUGAACAAAAUUACCUAUAAUGACGUUUUGCCUAACUUGUAAAUUGAAGGGACUACAAAUAAUUUUUGAUUUCAAAAAAUCGCGAUGAAAAAAAUUUUUUUCCGAGUCUAAAAUCUUAAAAGUUUUUGAAGCGCAACAAUUUUUGAUCUGCUAAAAAUCAUUUAGAAAUUUUCAAGCUUCAAAAACUUCUUAAAUUUUAGAGUGAAAAAAAAUCAUCAAAACAAAAUUUGUUUAUUCAUUUUCGCAUUCAUUUUUAUCAUCGCGAUUUUUUUUUAAAUUAAAAAUCAUUUGCAGCCCUCUUCAAAUUGUAAGUUAGGCAAAAAGCCAUAAGAGGUAAUUUUGUUCAUUUUUCAAAGUAUUAACAACACCACCACCCCCCCCCCAAACGGGACAAAAUUGGAUUUUGGCACUUGCAUUUUUAAAAUGUAUUUCGCCCCUUCAAUUUUCAAAAUAGCAACUUGUUCAACUUACGUUUUUUUCUUAUUGUUAGUUAGUCGUACUCGUACCUAUCCGGUUGUAUCCAAAUGUGAAGUUUGUACCAUCACUCCCCGGACACCCUGUAUAAAAGAAAUUUGCAGCUGAUAUUCGGUUUUUUCUGAAAUGAGUCCAAUCUGGAAAUUAAGGGGCAGGGGCAUGUAGAUUUUUAAAAAUCCAAUUUUUGGCCAUGCAUUCUGGCAUAAUUAUUUGAGACAAUCCAAAAAAGGUUCUCUGACGAAAUAGCCUAUCUCUGAAAUUAAAAGCUCUACAAGAAAAUCAUUUUUCAAGGAUAUCUAAUAUUUCUAUAAACUAGGUAUUGUUUCCAGCUCUUUCAAAUUUCAAAGUUGGACAAUAUCACGAAAAAAACAUUUUUUGUUCGUAUAGAAAAGUUACACAAUAAUUUACCUUCAAAGUUGACAAAAAUUCAAUUUUUUUAAAUUUUGAAAAACUUACAAAAAAAAUCCACUCUAUUCGCAAAGUAUGAUUGCCUGUAGCAUAGCGCCUUCAGUUUUAAAGAUAGGCGAUUUUAUCGGAGAACUUUUUUUGUUCGUCUUAGAAAAUCAAGCCAGAAUCAAUGGUCAAAAAUUAAAUUUUCAAAAAUCAACAAACCCAUGCCCCUUCAAUUUCCAGAAUAGACUCAUUUCAGAAAAACUGAAUAUCAGCUGCAAGUUGCUUUUUUCCAUGUGUACAACACGUAGGCGAAGUAUCGUUCUGAUCGGCGACCAACAGUCUGACUGUUCCGUGUAAUAAAAUAAUCUUCCCCAUUUGCUUUCGUGAUUGAGGUCUUCAUAGAAAAAAUAAAUGGAAAUAAUAAUUUUUAAAAAAAUUUAUGUAUGUACUUUAACCUUGUAUGUAUGUAAUGUACGUAUUCAAAAGUACUUAUAUAAUUAAAUUUUCAUUGUUUGACUGAGACGUUUCUAUCAGAUGAACGAUCCUUGGACAACUAGGCAUUUGAUGAAUUUUGAUAUUAUAAAAAUUCAAAUUGAAACAGAUUAUUAAAAAAAUGAUAAAAAAAUUCUAUUAGAUAGGUAUUUCAAAUCAAAUUGAAUUUUACAGAUAUCAUUUUUAAUUUUUAAUUUUAAGAGAAUUCAUUUUUUCUUUAGAUUUUUCGGUAAAUGCUUACCAUAAUUUCAAAUUAAUCCAACUUUUCACACGGUUGGUUGGAAAUUUAUUUGAAUAAAUUUGUACUUCAAAUAACGCGAGUUUACAUCGAAUGUGACUUUAAGCUUUCGACACCAUAUGGAUCAAGGGCCGAUUUCACCAUCUUAUAGGGGAAGGCCCUUUUCACAAAAUCAUUUUUGAUUUUCAUUUUGAUUUUUCUGAGCGACACGUUUAACGCUUGCAAAAUUGGUAAUAAAUUACCCUUUUAAUGAAUUUUCAUUUCAAUUUCAAAUGAAAAUCGAUAAUUCUUACACAUUUGAUUUUUGAUAAUUUUUUUCAUUAAAUUCAAGUUACAAUCGGAUUCUUGAAAAAUAAAUAUUAGAUCAAUUUAAUUAUUUUAAACUAAAUUUUAUAAAGAUGAUAAUUUUAUUUCAGAUUAAUAUUUCUUUUGAAUUUCAAAUGAAUCAAUUAUUCUCUGAAAUCUGAAUAAACUUUUAACGAAUUUUUACAAAAAUUACCCAUUACGAAUUAUUUUUUGAUGAAUUUUAUUCUUUUCAAAAUUCAAAUCAAAAUUCAAUUUUCUAAAAAAUUAACCUCCGAUGAGUUUCAAUUUUAAAUUUCAAAACUGGAAUUUUUCAGAGAAUUCACUGAUAUGAAACAGUACAUAUCUGACUUUCAUUCAAACAAACCAAUAAUCCGCAUUAACUCGAUGGCAAACUGCACAAAUCGAACACAAAUAUUCGAUAAUAAAACCGCACAAACUCGUAUUACAUUUUUUAUAUUUUCAAAGGUAUAAAACUUUACAUAAACAUAAUUUAGGACACAAUCAUCGAAUACAUAAUAUACACACGUAGCACGCAGGUAUAUAUACAAAACCACAAAUUAACUACGAAUAAAUAAUUUAACUAAUAUUUCAGUCUUAAGUAAGACAAACAAAAAAGAAGAAAAAUACAUCAUACACAAAGAGCAAAACUCAUAAUCUAAAUUAAAAAAAAAAAAAAAAAAAAAAAAACAUUAAAAA